This 278-nucleotide ribosomal RNA is filed under the name uncultured Paracoccus sp. Its description in RNAcentral is "partial 16S ribosomal RNA". It matches the Rfam family "Bacterial small subunit ribosomal RNA", at positions 29 to 334 of the family's 1533-position model. Lineage: Bacteria; Pseudomonadati; Pseudomonadota; Alphaproteobacteria; Rhodobacterales; Paracoccaceae. The record is from RNAcentral.
AACGAACGCUGGCGGCAGGCUUAACACAUGCAAGUCGAGCGAGAUCUUCGGAUCUAGCGGCGGACGGGUGAGUAACGCGUGGGAAUAUACCCUUCUCUACGGAAUAGCCUCGGGAAACUGAGAGUAAUACCGUAUACGCCCUUCGGGGGAAAGAUUUAUCGGAGAAGGAUUAGCCCGCGUUGGAUUAGGUAGUUGGUGGGGUAAUGGCCUACCAAGCCGACGAUCCAUAGCUGGUUUGAGAGGAUGAUCAGCCACACUGGGACUGAGACACGGCCCAG